This 459-nucleotide ribosomal RNA is filed under the name uncultured bacterium. Its description in RNAcentral is "partial 16S ribosomal RNA". It matches the Rfam family "Bacterial small subunit ribosomal RNA", at positions 338 to 795 of the family's 1533-position model. The record is from RNAcentral.
CCUACGGGUGGCAGCAGUGAGGAAUAUUGGUCAAUGGGCGCAAGCCUGAACCAGCCAAGUCGCGUGAAGGAAGACGGUCCUCUGGAUUGUAAACUUCUUUUGUCGGGGAGCAAAAGACGCCUCGCGAGCCGCUCCGAGAGUACCCGAAGAAAAAGCAUCGGCUAACACCGUGCAAGCAGCCGCGGUAAUACGGAGGAUGCGCGCGUUAUCCGGAUUUAUUGGGUUUAAAGGGUGCGCAGGCGGAAGAUCAAGUCAGCGGUAAAAUCGAGGGGCCCAACCUCGUCGAGCCGUUGAAACUGGUUGUCUUGAGUGAGCGAGAAGUAGGCGGAAUGCGUGGUGUAGCGGUGAAAUGCUUAGAUAUCACGCAGAACUCCGAUUGCGAAGGCAGGAUACCGGCGCUCAACUGACGCUCAGGCACGAAAGUGUGGGUAUCGAACAGGAUUAGAUACCCCGGUAGUC